UACGUAGGGUGCGAGCGUUGUCCGGAUUUAUUGGGCGUAAAGGGCUCGUAGGCGGCCUGUCGCGUCGGGAGUGAAAGCCCACUGCUUAACGGUGGGUCUGCUUCCGGUACGGGCGGGCUAGAGUAUGGCAGGGGAGACUGGAAUUCCUGGUGUAGCGGUGGAAUGCGCAGAUAUCAGGAGGAACACCGGUGGCGAAGGCGGGUCUCUGGGCCAUUACUGACGCUGAGGAGCGAAAGCGUGGGGAGCGAACAGGAUUAGAUACCCUGGUAGUCCACGCCGUAAACGUUGGGCGCUAGGUGUGGGGACUGUUUCCACGGUCUCCGUGCCGGAGCUAACGCAUUAAGCGCCCCGCCUGGGGAGUACGGCCGCAAGGCUAAA
RNAcentral lists this ribosomal RNA (378 nucleotides) under uncultured bacterium. RNAcentral's name for it is "bacterial SSU rRNA". It matches the Rfam family "Bacterial small subunit ribosomal RNA", at positions 524 to 898 of the family's 1533-position model. The record is from RNAcentral.